CACGUAGGGACCGAGCGUUGUCCGGAUUUAUUGGGCGUAAAGAGCGUGUAGGCGGUUCGGUAAGUCUGUCGUGAAAUCCUGAGGCUCAACCUCGGGCGUGCGAUGGAUACUGCCGGGCUAGAGGGUGGUAGAGGCGAGUGGAAUUCCCGGUGUAGCGGUGAAAUGCGCAGAUAUCGGGAGGAACACCAGUAGCGAAGGCGGCUCGCUGGGCCACACCUGACGCUGAGACGCGAAAGCUAGGGGAGCGAACAGG
RNAcentral lists this ribosomal RNA (253 nucleotides) under uncultured bacterium. Its description in RNAcentral is "partial 16S ribosomal RNA". It matches the Rfam family "Bacterial small subunit ribosomal RNA", at positions 524 to 776 of the family's 1533-position model. The record is from RNAcentral.